This 354-nucleotide ribosomal RNA is filed under the name uncultured bacterium. Its description in RNAcentral is "bacterial SSU rRNA". It matches the Rfam family "Bacterial small subunit ribosomal RNA", at positions 71 to 423 of the family's 1533-position model. The record is from RNAcentral.
ACAGGUGUAGCAAUACAUGCUGGCGACCGGCGCACGGGUGCGUAACACGUAUGAAACCUACCCAUAACUUGGGAAUAGCCCGAAGAAAUUCGGAUUAAUGUCCAAUAAUACGAUUGAAUGGCAUCAUUUGAUUGUUAAAGAUUUAUCGGUUAUGGAAGGUCAUGCGGCUGAUUAGCUAGUUGGUGAGGUAAUGGCUCACCAAGGCGACGAUCAGUAGGGGACCUGAGAGGGUGAUCCCCCACACUGGUACUGAGAUACGGACCAGACUCCUACGGGAGGCAGCAGUAGGGAAUAUUGGGCAAUGGGCGAGAGCCUGACCCAGCCAUGCCGCGUGCAGGAAGAAGGCCUUCUGGG